This 772-nucleotide ribosomal RNA is filed under the name Cornufer minutus (tiny sticky-toed frog). RNAcentral's name for it is "partial 16S ribosomal RNA". It matches the Rfam family "Bacterial large subunit ribosomal RNA", at positions 1538 to 2557 of the family's 2925-position model. The record is from RNAcentral. Lineage: Eukaryota; Metazoa; Chordata; Amphibia; Anura; Ceratobatrachidae.
AAACCCUUAACCACUAUUGAAUGACUUCAUUAUUUAAUGAAAGACACUAUGCUUAAACUAGUAACAAGAAUAUGAAAUUCUCCUAAAUGUAAGCAUAAGCCGUGAUAGACAAACCAACGGCAAUUAACAUUAUUAAGCCUAUCACAACAACUUCCAAGAGAAACUUGUAAAUUAUAAUGUUACCCUAACACAAGAACAUUCCAGGAAUGAUUAAAAGGAGAAGAAGGAACUCGGCAAAUUUUAACCCCGCCUGUUUACCAAAAACAUCGCCUUUUGUUAAUAUAUAAAAGGUCCAGCCUGCCCGGUGAUAAUUAAACGGCCGCGGUACCCUAACCGUGCUAAGGUAGCACAAUUACUUGUCCUUUAAAUGGGGACCAGAAUGAAUGGCACCACGAGGGUUGUACUGUCUCCUUCUCCUGAUCAGUGAAACUGACCUCCCCGUGAAAAGGCGGGGAUAAAGAUACUAGACGAGAAGACCCCAUGGAGCUUUAGACAUCGAGCAUCACCAAGACACCCUCCCAUUAGUCUGUAAUCACUGACUCUAAGUCUUAGGCUGGGGCGACCAUGGAGUAAAAAUUAACCUCCAUAACGAAAGGACUCUUCCUUAUUUAAGAGGGAUACCUCUAAAAAACAAAACAUUGACGCCUACUGAUCCGGAAUCCGAUCAAUGAACCAAGUUACCCUGGGGAUAACAGCGCUAUCUGCCUCAAGAGUUCAUAUCGACAGGCAGGUUUACGACCUCGAUGUUGGAUCAGGGCCCCCUAGUGGUGUA